GUCUAGGGCCAUACCCUCCUGAAAGCACCCAAUCUUGUCUGAUCUCGGAAGAUAAGCAGGUUCAGAUCUGAUUAGAAUUUUGGAUGGGAGAAAGACUGAUAAUACUAAGUA
Molecule: ribosomal RNA, 111 nt
Organism: Otolemur garnettii (small-eared galago)
Lineage: Eukaryota; Metazoa; Chordata; Mammalia; Primates; Galagidae
Source: Ensembl